RNAcentral lists this ribosomal RNA (495 nucleotides) under uncultured bacterium. Its description in RNAcentral is "partial 16S ribosomal RNA". It matches the Rfam family "Bacterial small subunit ribosomal RNA", at positions 28 to 507 of the family's 1533-position model. The record is from RNAcentral.
GACGAACGCUGGCGGCGUGCCUAAUACAUGCAAGUAGAACGCUGAAGGAGGAGCUUGCUUCUCUGGAUGAGUUGCGAACGGGUGUGUAACGCGUAGGUAACCUGCCUGGUAGCGGGGGAUAACUAUUGGAAACGAUAGCUAAUACCGCAUAAGAGUAGAUGUUGCAUGACAUUUGCUUAAAAGGUGCAAUUGCAUCACUACCAGAUGGACCUGCGUUGUAUUAGCUAGUUGGUGGGGUAACGGCUCACCAAGGCGACGAUACAUAGCCGACCUGAGAGGGUGAUCGGCCACACUGGGACUGAGACACGGCCCAGACUCCUACGGGAGGCAGCAGUAGGGAAUCUUCGGCAAUGGACGGAAGUCUGACCGAGCAACGCCGCGUGAGUGAAGAAGGUUUUCGGAUCGUAAAGCUCUGUUGUAAGAGAAGAACGAGUGUGAGAGUGGAAAGUUCACACUGUGACGGUAUCUUACCAGAAAGGGACGGCUAACUACGUG